AUGGGAGACAGAACAUCUGGCUUUGGAGCAAGGCUUGACGCUCAACCUCUGCCUCUCCUUUGCUUCGCAUCCUCUUUGCGUCUCUUCCCCGGCAAAGAAAAGAAAAAGAAAAACAAAAACCAGACUCAUCCUUCCUCCCAGGGCGCUGAAGAGAUUAAUGCAUCCUGUGAGUUCUGGAAACCGAGGAGGAGCAACCUCACCAAGAUCAUCCCAUGCCUUGAAGACCCCUCAGUCGUACAGGAAAAGCCAGCCAAUCUGACCACUCAUUUCAGGAAGACAGAGGAUAAAGGGGGGACUGCCUUUCCUCAUUUUCCACACACAGUCCUCAAAAUGCAUUUUUAUGAUUACUUUUCCUUCUUAAAGACUUUCCAUGAAAUUUAUUGAAACCUGGUUUUAUUUGACUCUCGUUCCAAAAUAUUGUGGGUUUUUUUUUUCCUUUUGUAAUUGCCAUUUAAAUAAUCAAAAAUUCCUUAGGAAAGAAAUUUCAAUUUUCUAUAACUUUAUAAAUAUGGAGCAAAUAUACCUGUUUAUCUUGAAUUUUGAUGACUGUCCCUUUUAACACUUUACUCACCUCUGGAGAAAGGAGUUAUCCAAUUUCUCAGAAGUUCUUUGAGAAAGACCAUUAAAUGAAAAACAGAUCCUUACUGCUGCCCUAGAGAAAGAAAGAUAAUUUCAGAUGAUGAAAAAUAACCUUUUAGUUUUUGUUAAGAACUCAAAACAAUUCAUUAUUUUACCACAACAUACCAUUCUGUAUAUUACCUCAAAUAGAGCAGAACAAAUUUUCAGAAUUCUAGACUACUAUUCCAAGAAGAGUUUGAGAGGCAACUGUGGUGCCUUUCCCUCAAAAUUGUUCAAAGUAUGGGUUAUUCCAUAAUAUAAUAAGUAUAAUAUCAAGGUUUUCUAUGACCAGCUUAGUUUAAAAGACUCUGUCCCACCCUAUAAAUAAACUUUUGCCUACCACACCUGAUUUAGAUAUAAGGAUCAUAAUAUCCACUGACCACAGGGAAAAUGUCUUCCAUUAGAAAUACUCUAAACUGUCCACGCAGUAACAUAAAGAAUUUAUACUGAAGUAAUAUACUAAUAAUUCUUCAUAAUAUUUUUAACUUUUUCAGGAAUAUAAAAAUCAGAAAUGGCAUUUUUAAUUCAUGUAGUUGUCUCCCUUUUGUUAUUGGUUUGCUAAUCUCCAAUGGCUUACACAUACAAAGGGAAGGUGUCUUAAGGCUGUAUAAAUACACUAGGUGACUCUGUACACUCCCCAAGUCUAAGCUAACAUAUCAAUGCAGAUGACUUUUAAAUUCUACUUGUCCCUACUUUUUCUUUGAUCUGUCUUCUGAAAUCCAGAACUAUAUUUUCAGUUGACAUGUCCAAAUGACAUUUCAAAUUCAAGUCACACCACCCACCCUUUCCUAAUCGUCCAAGAGAGACACUUUAGAGUUAUUCCUUCCACAUCCCAAGUAGUUCAUUGGUCACCAAUUUUUUUUUAAAGAUUGUAUUUAUUUAUUUGUCAGAGAGAGAACAACCAGAAGGGGAGCAGAAGGCAGAGGGAGAAGCAGGCUCCCUGCUGAGCAAGGAGCCCAAUGUAGGACUCAAUCCGAUGACCCUGGGAUCCUGAGCUGAAGACAGACACUUAACUGACUGAGCCAUCCAGGUGUCCCGGUCACCAAAUUUUUAAAAGCAUUCAAAAUGUUCAGGGGCAGCUGGGUGCCUCAGUCGGUUAAUCGUCAGACUCUUGAUUUCAGCUCAGGUCAUGAUCUCACGGUCAUGAGUUCAAGCUCUGCAUAAGGCUUCAUGCUGGGCAUGGAGCCUGCUAAGAUUACCUCGCUCCCUCUCCCUCUACCCCUCACCCCAUGCUUGCACACUCUCUCUCUCUAAAAAAAAAAAAAAAUUAAAAAUAAAAUAAAAAAUAAAAAUAUUCAAACCAAAGUCUCUCAAACCAAAUUGCUAUUGCAGUCAACAUAGGAGAGUGGUCCAGUAUAUGGAUUUUGGCAUCAGACAGAGCUAUGUUUUAAUCACCACUCUGCAACUACUCAAUCUCUGUGCAGCUCAGUUUUAACCAGAUGAUGGGGAUAAGAAAACCUAUCCCAUAUGGUUGUGUGAGGAUUUAUAAAUGUAACACGUGCUAAGGAAUUAACAUGAUCCCCAGUUCAAAGUGAGAUCAUCAUCCUCUUUUCUAGACUGUAAUAAAAGACUACUAGUAGCCUUCCUGCUUUCUCUCUUCUUUUAUUCCCUCCUCCAUAAACUACACUACUCUACAAUGAAGACACAAUUGCAGUAUUCUUUUAAUUAAAAGCUUCCUGGUUACCAAAGGAAAACAAAACUUUGUAUUGGAGGAACGAAGCUGCCAUCACUACAAUCUAAUGGUCAAC
RNAcentral lists this long non-coding RNA (2366 nucleotides) under Ursus thibetanus thibetanus. RNAcentral describes it as "lncRNA (ENSUTTG00000011130.1)". Lineage: Eukaryota; Metazoa; Chordata; Mammalia; Carnivora; Ursidae. The record is from RNAcentral.